This 469-nucleotide ribosomal RNA is filed under the name Feramyces austinii. Its description in RNAcentral is "eukaryotic LSU rRNA". It matches the Rfam family "Eukaryotic large subunit ribosomal RNA", at positions 345 to 667 of the family's 3401-position model. The record is from RNAcentral. Lineage: Eukaryota; Fungi; Neocallimastigomycota; Neocallimastigomycetes; Neocallimastigales; Neocallimastigaceae.
CAAGUACCGUGAGGGAAAGAUGAAAAGAACUUUGAAAAGAGAGUUAAACAGUACGUGAAAUUGUCAAAAGGGAAGCGUUUGACACCAGUGUUGUUUUUCCGAAAAUCAAUUGUGCCUGGCUGGAUUUUGUAGGAGUUUGACCUUAUCAGCUUCUUCUGCUUUUUUCCGGUCUGGUGCAAUGCACUUUUCGGUUAACAAGUCAACAUCAAUUUCUUUUGUUGUAAAAGGGUAAUUGGAAGGUGGCUUUCUUUUCGGAGAAAGUGUUUAUAGCCUUUUACCUCUACAAUCGGAGAGAUUGAGGUCUGCAGCGUAGAUCCUUCGGGGUUAGAUACAUUUGUGCUAAGUUAUAGCCCUGUAUAGACAACUUGUUGACUAUACUCGGUCAUGUAGCUUACUCGCUUAUGCUAUUUUACCUACGCUUAGGAUGUUGACAAAAUGGUUUUAAACGACCCGUCUUGAAACACGGACC